UCUGGUUGAUCCUGCCAGUAGUCAUAUGCUUGUCUUAAAGAUUAAGCCAUGCAUGUCUAAGUAUAAGCACUUGUACUGUGAAACUGCGAAUGGCUCAUUAUAUCAGUUAUAAUUUAUUUGAUGGUCAUUUACUUGGAUAACCGUGGUAAAUCUAGAGCUAAUACAUGCAUAAAAUCCUGACUGGGAACGGAAAGGAUGUAUUUAUUAGAUACAAAAACCAAUGCAUCAGGCCUUCACGGGCUUGGUGGAAAACAUGGUGAUUCAUGAUAACUUUACGAAUCGUGUGGUCUCGUACCGACGAUAGUUCAUUCAAAUUUCUGCCCUAUCAACUUUCGAUGGUAGUAUAGAGGACUACCAUGGUGGUAACGGGUAACGGAGAAUCAGGGUUUGAUUCCGGAGAAGGAGCCUGAGAAACGGCUACUACUUCCAGGGAAGGCAGCAGGCGCGCAAAUUACCCAAUCCCGGCACGGGGAGGUAGUGACAAAAAAUAACAAUACCGGUCUUAUAUAAGUCUGGUAAUUGGAAUGAGUACAAUCUAAACCCCUUAACGAGUUUCAAUUGGAGGGCAAGUCUGGUGCCAGCAGCCGCGGUAAUUCCAGCUCCAAUAGCAUAUAUUAAAGUUGUUGCAGUUAAAAAGCUCGUAGUUGGAUUUUAGAGUUUACUUAGUAGAGUCCGCUUGAAUGAGUGUGUAUUUUACUAGUAGCUCUCCUUACUAGAUAUUCACGAUCGUUCUUAAUUGAGUGGUUGUUCUUGCUCGCAAGGGUGAGGUGCUUGGUGGGUCUGGGAGUUGAGAUGUGGUGUUUUUACGGGGCAACCUGUGGGAACAUCUGCUUGGCUAACUUCCAUCGAGUAGAAUUCUAGUUCAUUUACUUUGAGUAAAUUAGAGUGUUCAAAGCAAACGUACAUUUUGUAAUGAAUACUAUUAGCAUGGGAUAAUGGAACAGGACGUUGGUUCUAUUUUAUUGGUUUCUAGAACUAAUGUAAUGAUUAAAAGGGAUAGUUGGGGGCAUUAGUAUUUAAUUGUCAGAGGUGAGAUUCUUGGAUUUAUGAAAGACUAACUUCUGCGAAAGCAUUUGUCAAGGAUGUUUUCAUUAAUCAAGAACGAAAGUUAGGGGAUCGAAGACGAUCAGAUACCGUCGUAGUCUUAACCAUAAACUAUGCCGACCAGGGAUUGGAAGACGUUAAUUUAAAAAAUAGGACUCCUCCAGCACCUUACGAGAAAUCACAAGUUUUUGGGUUCUGGGGGGAGUAUGGUCGCAAGGCUGAAACUUAAAGGAAUUGACGGAAGGGCACCACCAGGAGUGGAGCCUGCGGCUUAAUUUGACCCAACACGGGAAAACUUACCAGGUCCAGACACAGUUAGGAUUGACGC
RNAcentral lists this ribosomal RNA (1372 nucleotides) under metagenome. RNAcentral's name for it is "SSU rRNA". It matches the Rfam family "Eukaryotic small subunit ribosomal RNA", at positions 1 to 1246 of the family's 1831-position model. The record is from RNAcentral.